UGGGGAAUAUUGCACAAUGGGCGCAAGCCUGAUGCAGCAACGCCGCGUGAGGGAUGACGGCCUUCGGGUUGUAAACCUCUUUUAGCAGGGAAGAAGCGAGAGUGACGGUACCUGCAGAAAAAGCACCGGCUAACUACGUGCCAGCAGCCGCGGUAAUACGUAGGGUGCAAGCGUUAUCCGGGAUUAUUGGGCGUAAAGAGCUCGUAGGCGGUUUGUCGCGUCUGCUGUGAAAACCCGAGGCUCAACCUCGGGCCUGCAGUGGGUACGGGCAGACUAGAGUGCGGUAGGGGAGAUUGGAAUUCCUGGUGUAGCGGUGGAAUGCGCAGAUAUCAGGAGGAACACCGAUGGGCGAAGGCAGAUCUCUGGGCCGUAACUGACGCUGAGGAGCGAAAGGGUGGGGAGCGAAACAGGCUUAGAUACCCUGGUAGUCCACCCGUAAACGUUGGGAACUAGUUGUGGGGUCCAUUCCACGGAUUCCGUGACGCAGCUAACGCAUUAACG
This 501-nucleotide ribosomal RNA is filed under the name uncultured Actinomycetes bacterium. RNAcentral describes it as "bacterial SSU rRNA". It matches the Rfam family "Bacterial small subunit ribosomal RNA", at positions 355 to 864 of the family's 1533-position model. Lineage: Bacteria; Bacillati; Actinomycetota; Actinomycetes. The record is from RNAcentral.